AAACUGGGAUUAGAUACCCUACUAUGCUUAGCCCUAAAUCUUGAUACUUAGCCCACCAAAGUAUCCGCCCGAGAACUACGAGCACAAACGCUUGAAACUCUAAGGACUUGGCGGUGCCCCAAACCCACCUAGAGGAGCCUGUUCUAUAAUCGAUAACCCACGAUGCACCCAACCGCUCCUCGCCAGAACAGCCUACAUACCGCCGUCGCCAGCUCACCUCCCCUGAGAGUGCAACAGUGAACACAACAGCCUCAACCACGCUAACAAGACAGGUCAAGGUAUAGCCUAUGGAGCGGAAGAAAUGGGCUACAUUUUCUAAACUAGAAAACCCACGGAAGGGGGUGUGAAACCACCCCCGGAAGGCGGAUUUAGUAGUAAAACAGGAUAAUAAAGCCUGCUUUAAACUGGCUCUGGGGCACGUACACACCGCCCGUCACCCUC
Molecule: ribosomal RNA, 441 nt
Filed under: Egretta garzetta (little egret)
Lineage: Eukaryota; Metazoa; Chordata; Aves; Pelecaniformes; Ardeidae
Description: partial 12S ribosomal RNA
Rfam family: Bacterial small subunit ribosomal RNA
Source: RNAcentral